Molecule: ribosomal RNA, 497 nt
Filed under: uncultured bacterium
Lineage: Bacteria
Description: partial 16S ribosomal RNA
Rfam family: Bacterial small subunit ribosomal RNA
Source: RNAcentral
GACGAACGCUGGCGGCGUGCCUAAUACAUGCAAGUCGAGCGAUGAAGCUUGGUGCUUGCUCCAAUUUGAAGAGCAGCGAACGGGUGAGUAACGCGUGGGUAAUCUGCCUUUGAGCGGGGGACAACAUUUGGAAACGAAUGCUAAUACCGCAUAACAACUUUAAACAUAAGUUUUAAGUUUGAAAGAUGCAAUUGCAUCACUCAAAGAUGAUCCCGCGUUGUAUUAGCUAGUUGGUGAGGUAAAGGCUCACCAAAGCGAAGAUACAUAGCCGACCUGAGAGGGGGGUCCGGCACAAUUGGAAGGAGACAAGGCCCAAAAUCCUACGGGAAGCAGCAGUAGGGGAUCUUCGGGAAUGGAGGAAAGUCUGACCGAGGAAAGCCGCGGGAGUGAAGAAGGUUUUCGGAUCGUAAAACUCUGUUGGUAGAGAAGAAAGUUGGUGGGAGUGGAAAGCUCAUCAAGUGACGGUAACUAACCAGAAAGGGACGGCUAACUACGUG